This 124-nucleotide small RNA is filed under the name Marmota monax (woodchuck). Lineage: Eukaryota; Metazoa; Chordata; Mammalia; Rodentia; Sciuridae. The record is from RNAcentral.
GCCGGGCAUGGUGGCACAGCCUGUAAUCCCAACAGCUCGGGAGGCUGAGGCAGGAGGAUCACGAGUUCAAAGCCAGCCUCAGCAAAAGUGAGGCUUUAGGCAACUCAGUGAGACCCUGUCUCUA